GCAGACCGAGGUGCAGGAGGUUAACAGAUGAGACAGCCUUUCAUCCUGCCCUCCAUGUGGCUUUGCCUACUCGCAUGCAUUUGUCUCUGUAUAUAUUGGCAGUCUUCUGGAGUAGCGACUCUCCUGACUGCCCUUGGAAACUUAUUGAAGCAGCAAUGUAAGAUUAGACCCUUAAACAAUGUCACCAAGAACACUGUACUUCUAGCAGUGCAGUCCGAUGUGCAAAAGCAGUUGCCCUGGGCAAAGGUCGGAGAUCAGAGCAGAAGACUUCGCAUCAGUCCCUCCUAAGAAUUCUCAUCACGCCACAGCAGGGAGAGGCGUGUAUUCUGACUAACUUCAGUGGAAAGACCUGCUUCAUGUAUCAAGUUAACAGUGAACCAUUCCUGGAGCAAGUGAAUUUGAGGACAACAUUUUGGCCUGUAGACUAAGUUCAAGACAGAAACACUGGAGGAAAGGCAAAAUGCCAUUCACAUUUAUAGUGCAGUAUGAAUAAAUAAUAUUGGUGGAAAGUGAAACUGCAUUGAAAGUCAUCCUUGCUUUUGUACAAACAAGGAGCUCCUUGUGCAGUGGAACGAAUGAAACCUGGUUUCCUAUGGAUUUGUGCCUCCUGGUUGGAUUUUCUGGUGUCUAGUAAAGUGUUGGAAGAGAGAAAUGAAGUAAUGGCUACGUGAAUACUCAGCAGAGGCAAACGGAUGUGGAGGAAGAAGUGAGCAUCAUUCACGAUCCGACUCCCUUUCUCCCAGAAUCGGCAGGGGAGGAAAGGGAAACAUGAUGCUCAGUUCAUGGCUGGUGUGUGCAGAUGGCACGGCUGGCAGUUUGCGGUGGCCUCCAGUGUGCAAGCCGGGCUUAGCAGAACUAGCAGUGAGUAGAGAGCAAACAAACAUGCACUUGAAGGGAAGAGAUAAUCCCAUUUCUAAUUCUGUGAACAUUUUGUGAAAUGAAAUCUGUUAGAAGUUUCACAGUUAGGAGAAAGCAAAACUGCCAGUCUUUAUCUUCUUUGUUGGUUGACAUGAAGUUAGGAUAAGAAUUUGGACUUAAAGCAAAAUUUUGCAUCUAUUUUCAAGGGAUAAACCAUGAUUUUCCCUCAGGAUGAAGAAAAUGAAUCAGGUUGGCAACACUUACAAAUAUUUUCUUAAAUCCCUUUACUAUUGUUUAUGUCAUUUGUUUUUCAUUUGAGUUUCCUCUUGUCCUACUUUAUUCAUGUUGACAUCGUGCUCUCAGUGGAAUAUAUCCUUCCUAUAAAAUUUGGCAUUUAGAAGUUAUUUGAAAUGCAGAGUUCCUGAAGACAAAAAUUAAAAUCUUUUAGAAGUUGGAAAGUAAUAAUUACAGUGCUAAAAUAAAUAUGGAGCUUCAGCCAUAAAUUAAUCUAAUUUUACCAUAAUAUUGUUUUAAUUUAAAACUAGUAUUUUUUACAAAGGCAGAGUUUGUUGCCCUGCUCACAGAGAAGAUGAAAUGAUAUAUACACACUUGCCGGCAUCAUUCUUAAUUAUAUCCUAUUGGAGAUUAUCAUGUGUCUUCCUCCAUUUUGAUGAUGAUCUUUUAUUGUAUUUCUGUAAUGCUGCAUUUCAUUAUUACAAUAAAAUAUAAUUAAAAAAUUAAGGAGAACAAGAAUUAGAGUUAGAAAACUCCUAUUACAUGGGCCCAUUUAUUCUCCAUGCUAGUGUAGGAUGUUUUCUUUUCCUCCUAGUGAAAUGUCUGAAUCAACUUUUUUUCCAAGAAUAAGCCACAAAAGCAACCUACCAAAAUUUAAAGUUUAAUCCUUAAACUCUUCGAAAAAGACAAGAAAUUGUUAGUCACAAAAUCAAGUUUCAUAUAAUAGAAGCUUUUUUUAAAAUUUGCUCAAAUUUAAAUGAAGUGCCAUAUUUUUUGUGUUAUGUUUCAAGUACAAUACAAAAAUAGACAUAUACAUUGCUGAAAUGUUUUGAAAAUAAAGUAUUCCGUAUUGCAUUUUUUAACUCUGUAUAAAUCCCAGACCUGACAUUGAGGGCUAACUGAACUUGACAUGUUUCUGAUUUCUGGUAAAUAUCUGUCAUACUGUACAAUCCUGUCAGAUUUAUUCCUGUGUAUGUGAGGUAUGUAUUUCUUUGUUUAAAAGAAAAAAAAAUGUAACUUUACAAAAGUAAUAGCUGUCUUUUGAAGAAUAACAUCAAAAGGCAUAAGAAGACAAGGCCUUUUUAUACUUCUCAGUAAGCUCAGUCCCAGCAGCAAAAUCCUGCAUAGCAGUCAAUUAGUUUCUUCUUGUGCAUGUAGAAAAUAAAAUAUUUGAUAACAAGGAGUAACAAAGUGGUAAACAGAAGAUCCUCUUCUUUCACUGUGCUGUGGUGUGCUGAAAUCAGUGCAGGUUCUAUCCCUUCUAAGUCCAUACAGCUGAACUCAAUUUUACCAUAUUACAAAGACGUGGGUUUUCAGUUAGCACCUACCACAUCCAGGCUCCUUAAUCUGUGUGUUAUAUAAUGGCACCUCCCACAGUAAAAGUUCAAUACUUUUGCAGAACCUCAGACUAAUUUUUACUGCAUGACAAACACAUGGAACCACAUCUCAUAUUUACUAGUAUUAGCUGCUUGCACUAAAUAUAUUUAAUCUUGUUCUUACUGCUUGAUUUUCUUGUUUAAUAUAUCUUUCUCUGAAAUAAACUCCCU
Dromaius novaehollandiae (emu) is the source of this 2639-nucleotide long non-coding RNA. RefSeq lists it as uncharacterized. Lineage: Eukaryota; Metazoa; Chordata; Aves; Casuariiformes; Dromaiidae. The transcript is spliced from 4 exons. The record is from RefSeq and is a predicted model, not a curated record.